UAGGGAAUAUUGCUUAAUGGGCGAAAGCCUGAAGCAGCAACGCCGCGUGAACGAAGAAGGCCUUCGGGUCGUAAAGUUCUUUUACGUGGGAUGAGGAAGGACAGUACCACGAGAAUAAGUCUCGGCUAACUACGUGCCAGCAGCCGCGGUAAAACGUAGGAGACGAGCGUUAUCCGGAUUUACUGGGCGUAAAGAGCGUGUAGGAGGCGCUACAAGUUGGAUGUUAAAGCUCCCGGCUUAACUUGGAGUGGUCGUUCAAGACUGUAGAGCUAGAGUAAGGCAGAGGUAGAUGGAACUCCGGGAGUAGUGGUUAAAUGCGUAGAUAUCCGGAAGAACACCAGAGGCGAAAGCGAUCUGCUGGACCUUAACUGACACUGAGACGCGAAAGCCAGGGUAGCAAACG
Molecule: ribosomal RNA, 403 nt
Filed under: uncultured prokaryote
Description: bacterial SSU rRNA
Rfam family: Bacterial small subunit ribosomal RNA
Source: RNAcentral